ACGCCGUAAACGAUGAGUGCUAGGUGUUAGGCCCUUUCCGGGGCUUAGUGCCGCAGCUAACGCAUUAAGCACUCCGCCUGGGGAGUACGACCGCAAGGUUGAAACUCAAAGGAAUUGACGGGGGCCCGCACAAGCGGUGGAGCAUGUGGUUUAAUUCGAAGCAACGCGAAGAACCUUACCAGGUCUUGACAUCCCGAUGCCCGCUCUAGAGAUAGAGUUUUACUUCGGUACAUCGGUGACAGGUGGUGCAUGGUUGUCGUCAGCUCGUGUCGUGAGAUGUUGGGUUAAGUCCCGCAACGAGCGCAACCCUUAUUGUUAGUUGCCAUCAUUCAGUUGGGCACUCUAGCGAGACUGCCGGUAAUAAACCGGAGGAAGGUGGGGAUGACGUCAAAUCAUCAUGCCCCUUAUGACCUGGGCUACACACGUGCUACAAUGGCUGGUACAACGAGUCGCAAGUCGGUGACGGCAAGCUAAUUUAAAGCCAGUCUCAGUUCGGAUUGUAGGCUGCAACUCGCCUACAUGAAGUCGGAAUCGCUAGUAAUCGCGGAUCAGCACGCCGCGGUGAAUACGUUCCCGGGCCUUGUACACACCGCCCGUCACACCACGAGAGUUUGUAACACCCGAAGUCGGUG
RNAcentral lists this ribosomal RNA (632 nucleotides) under Streptococcus gordonii. Its description in RNAcentral is "bacterial SSU rRNA". It matches the Rfam family "Bacterial small subunit ribosomal RNA", at positions 797 to 1432 of the family's 1533-position model. The record is from RNAcentral. Lineage: Bacteria; Bacillati; Bacillota; Bacilli; Lactobacillales; Streptococcaceae.